AAUAGAUACCCCGGUAGUCCACGCCGUAAACGGUGGGCACUAGGUGUGGGCAACAUUCCACGUUGUCCGUGCCGCAGCUAACGCAUUAAGUGCCCCGCCUGGGGAGUACGGCCGCAAGGCUAAAACUCAAAGGAAUUGACGGGGGGCCCGCACAAGCGGCGGAGCAUGUGGCUUAAUUCGACGCAACGCGAAGAACCUUACCAAGGCUUGACAUACACCGGAAAAGCAUCAGAGAUGGUGCCCCCCUUGUGGUCGGUGUACAGGUGGUGCAUGGCUGUCGUCAGCUCGUGUCGUGAGAUGUUGGGUUAAGUCCCGCAACGAGCGCAACCCUUGUCCCGUGUUGCCAGCAACUCUUCGGAGGUUGGGGACUCACGGGAGACCGGCCGGGGUCAACUCGGAGGAAGGUGGGGACGACGUCAAGUCAUCAUGCCCCUUAUGUCUUGGGCUGCACACGUGCUACAAUGGCCGGUACAAUGAGCUGCGAUACCGCAAGGUGGAGCGAAUCUCAAAAAGCCGGUCUCAGUUCGGAUUGGGGU
RNAcentral lists this ribosomal RNA (536 nucleotides) under uncultured bacterium. RNAcentral describes it as "bacterial SSU rRNA". It matches the Rfam family "Bacterial small subunit ribosomal RNA", at positions 777 to 1304 of the family's 1533-position model. The record is from RNAcentral.